CGCGUCAAACAUUAAAGACAGAUCUGCACUGAUGAAGUCAAAUUCCAGCAUCUCUCAGGGCUCUGUUUGCCUUUUCCAAUUAUAAAGCACUGUUGUUUCAGCUAUCUGGGAUCAGCUUUUGGAUGAGUCCCGCAGUUCCCUGGGGUGAGCGCUUCUUCCACGUGAGGAGAUCAUUAAGAUCUGAAGCAACACUGCUCUCUAGUGGGGACAUUUUAGAAAACACAGGAACUAUGCUGGCCCGGAUUGGCUAAUCGGGAGGACUGAGAGUAUUCCCGAUGGGCCGGUCCGUUUUUUUGGCCAAAAGGGCCGGAGUCCCUAGCUGCCUGCACUCUGAGCAGUCACACUUUCUUUAUUCAUUUAUUUAUUUGACUAUAGCCUCAAUCUUUUUAUUCAUUAUUUUGUUGCGCCCUUCUUUUUAUUUAUUUUCUCGCAGCCCCAGUAGCAGAAUGCAGCCGGCAUGUUAAUGAUGUCCAAUAAAGAAAUCUAUGAAGUCCG
RNAcentral lists this long non-coding RNA (495 nucleotides) under Danio rerio (zebrafish). RNAcentral's name for it is "lncRNA si:ch211-141o18.2 (ENSDARG00000100695.2)". Lineage: Eukaryota; Metazoa; Chordata; Actinopteri; Cypriniformes; Danionidae. The record is from RNAcentral.